Molecule: long non-coding RNA, 161 nt
Organism: Cydia splendana
Lineage: Eukaryota; Metazoa; Arthropoda; Insecta; Lepidoptera; Tortricidae
Exons: 2
Source: RefSeq, a predicted model, not a curated record
UGCGUCCAAAGUUAAAACUGCCGUUUUUGUUUUGAGUUUAUAGAUCGACGAAUCCAGCAACAUAAAAACUAUUUUGAUGUAUUCAAAAGGUACUUAAAUACAAAAUACAGUACGUAGCGGCCCCCUUUUUUAAAUAUCUAUCGUUAAAUUUAAAUAAUCAC